Molecule: ribosomal RNA, 117 nt
Filed under: Trichostrongylus colubriformis
Lineage: Eukaryota; Metazoa; Nematoda; Chromadorea; Rhabditida; Trichostrongylidae
Description: partial 5.8S ribosomal RNA
Rfam family: 5.8S ribosomal RNA
About the family: 5.8S ribosomal RNA (5.8S rRNA) is a component of the large subunit of the eukaryotic ribosome. It is transcribed by RNA polymerase I as part of the 45S precursor that also contains 18S and 28S rRNA. Functionally, it is thought that 5.8S rRNA may be involved in ribosome translocation.
Source: RNAcentral
AUGAAAAACGCAGCUAGCUGCGUUAUUUACCACGAAUUGCAGACGCUUAGAGUGGUGAAAUUUUGAACGCAUAGCGCCGUUGGGUUUUCCCUUCGGCACGUCUGGUUCAGGGUUGUU